Molecule: long non-coding RNA, 944 nt
Organism: Amphibalanus amphitrite
Lineage: Eukaryota; Metazoa; Arthropoda; Thecostraca; Balanomorpha; Balanidae
Exons: 3
Source: RefSeq, a predicted model, not a curated record
AUUGAAUCACCGUAGGCCAUUAUUGAAUUUAUAGAACAGAAUGCUGGCUUUCUAUUGGUGGUAACCACUUAAUGCGCUUUUUUGCAGGGGCUUGCGCUCGCUGUCAAACAGCUCAAAAUGCACCGACUGCUUGUGAAAUGGGAACAGUUGAGUAAAUUCAUCCAUCUGAAAGACGGAGAAAGUCUUGAAGACAAAUGCUUCUCGGCCUUUGAUCUGAAGCGCGACAUCCAUAAUCUGACAUUCAAGAUAUAUGUGGAAGAGUUCAAGACAUACGCAGACUUUGAUCUUCGAGACCUUCCGGCGUCGGCGAUGAUCCAGAUGCAGGUGUCCAUGUAUGUCGUGGGCGAAUCUGAAGAAACGCAGUUUACUGGCCCUGAUUUGUUCGAGGAAAUACUGGGAGAGGCAGGGUGUGUAGAGUUUUGUUAACGUAUCUUAUGUGUUAUAUUGUAUGUGUCAUUUUAAAAUUUAUCCAGAAAAUGUAUUUCAAAACUUCUUCAAGUGGCUCUUUUCGUUCUCUCUAUUCAUCAGUUUUCCCUCCAUGAAAGUUGUAAAAGCACUGAACUGGGACACUUCAUUGGUGGUGAGAGCCGAGAGAUGCAGGCAGUCACAUCUAUCUCAUGUCUGAGUUCCGCGUGUGUCUGUAACUGGGAACGCCAGAGUCCAGAGAGCGUCGGUGGGUGAAAUGAGCUGUUAAAAGUCCCUUCCCACUAUCGAAUAGAGCAGAAAUGUGUAUUGACUUGUAGCGAUGUUUACCUUUUUGUCUAUUCUGUUGUGUUUUAAGGACCAGCACGGACGCGCCUCCUCCAGAGCAGCCCUCCAUGGAAGCCACUGCAGAGCGGUCGACUGGCAAGUCUAAGGCACCAGACAUCGCGACCAGCUCGGACGCACCUCCUCCGAAGAAGCCCGCCAUGGAGGCCAACAUGAGUUCAAGUGGUACAUGCAGU